CGGACGGGUGAGUAAUGUCUGGGAAACUGCCCGAUGGAGGGGGAUAACUACUGGAAACGGUAGCUAAUACCGCAUAACGUCGCAAGACCAAAGAGGGGGACCUUCGGGCCUCUUGCCAUCGGAUGUGCCCAGAUGGGAUUAGCUAGUAGGUGGAGGACGCUACCUAGGCGACGAUCCCUAGCUGGCUGAGAGGAUGACCAGCCACACUGGAACUGAGACACGGUCCAG
Molecule: ribosomal RNA, 228 nt
Filed under: uncultured bacterium
Lineage: Bacteria
Description: partial 16S ribosomal RNA
Rfam family: Bacterial small subunit ribosomal RNA
Source: RNAcentral